CUCGUUCCCCGGGAAGAGUUCUCUUUUCUUCUUAACUGCCUCGUGCCCUGGAAUCGGUUUAGCCGGAGCGAGGGCUGCACGGCAGGCAAAGCACCCUAAGUCUUGGGGUGUCCGGCGCGCCCGCGACGGCCCGUGAAAAUCCGGGGGAGCGGUUCGUUCUCACGCUCGGUCGUACUCAUAACCGCAUCAGGUCUCCAAGGUGAGCAGCCUCUAGUCGAUAGAGCAAUGUAGGUAAGGGAAGUCGGCAAAAUGGUUCCGCAACUUCGGGAGAAGGAAUGGCUCUGAAGGCUGGGUGCGGGGGUCCUCCGCUUGAGGCCGGCUGGCUGCGCUGGGACUACGGCCUUUGCGCCGCGGACCCGGCGCGGCCGUCCGGCGGACGGCGGAGGAGCGCUCCGGCAUUCCCCGCACGCUGAACAGCCGCUUCAGAACUGGCGCGGACAAGGGGAAUCCGACUGUUUA
This 459-nucleotide ribosomal RNA is filed under the name Paraphysomonas bandaiensis. RNAcentral describes it as "partial Eukaryotic large subunit ribosomal RNA". It matches the Rfam family "Eukaryotic large subunit ribosomal RNA", at positions 1672 to 2144 of the family's 3401-position model. The record is from RNAcentral. Lineage: Eukaryota; Chrysophyceae; Chromulinales; Paraphysomonadaceae.